GGUGGUUCUCGGGUGACACGCCCCAGAAUCGGGCUCUCUCCUCUCUGGUUCCAGGUGCGUCACCCAAGAACCGAG
Myotis lucifugus (little brown bat) is the source of this 75-nucleotide non-coding RNA. NCBI's taxonomy places the organism in Eukaryota, Metazoa, Chordata, Mammalia, Chiroptera, Vespertilionidae. The record is from Rfam.